AACCACCUUCUAACACCCUAGCUAGUUCAAGGUAGGGUCCGCAAUCUAACUAGCCGUUCGCAAGCCAAUCCGUGUUCGGCUCGAAAUGAGCUCGAGAUCAAACUGCUCGUUUAGUAAAUAAGUCGAAUACGAACUGAAUUUUUCAGCUCAUUUAAUAAAUGAAUCUGUUACGAGCCAGGGUCAGCUAGCUCGUGUUCGAUUCGAUAACAACUCGAAUUCAUAUAAUUUAUAUUUAUUUAUAUAUAAAUAAAUAAUUAAUUAUAUUUAUAAUUUAAAUUUUUAUUAUUUAAUUUUUAGUCCAAUCUAAACAUAAAGCCAAACCCUAUUAUUAUAAAAUUUAAACCGUUUGAUCAAAGUCUAGCAGAUAAGAUCCAAUAUAUUUAUUUUCUCUCUCUCUAUAUAUAUAUAUAUCAUUUUUAGUUCUUUAACUUCUUAUUCGUAUGCCAGUUCUUAUUUGGCUCAUGUUCAGCUGCUCAUUAAUAAACAAGUCGAAUAUGAGCUGAAUUUUUUGACUCGAUACUUUAACAAGUCAACUCUUGUUCGGCUCGGUUAUGAAAGUAGCUG
RNAcentral lists this long non-coding RNA (564 nucleotides) under Ananas comosus (pineapple). RNAcentral's name for it is "long non-coding RNA (ACOM_LNC004038)". The record is from RNAcentral. Lineage: Eukaryota; Viridiplantae; Streptophyta; Magnoliopsida; Poales; Bromeliaceae.